ACCUGCUGAAUUUAAGCAUAUUACUAAGCGGAGGAAAAGAAACUAACCAGGAUUCCCUCAGUAACGGCGAGUGAAGCGGGAUCAGCUCAACUUGAAAACCUGCGCCCUUCGGGCGUCGGAUUGUAGCCUGGGUGUGGGCCCUGGAGGUUGCGCCCGGUGUAAUUCGGUAUUGAGAUACCGAGCCGGAGAGGGUAACAGCCCCGUCACGUCGGAACGCACCUUCGCCUGGGCCCCUACCCGUGAGUCGUGUUGCUUGGGACUGCAGCGCUAAUCGGGAGGUAAUGUCCUUCCAAAGCUAAAUAUUUGCGGGAGACCGAUAGCGAACAAGUACCGUGAGGGAAAGAUGAAAAGAACUUUGAAAAGAAAGUGAAAUAGUACGUGAAAUCGUUGGAAGCAAGCGAGCCAGUCUUCCUUCCCGUCGGGGGCCUUGCGCCCCCGCUCGGGGGCACGAUCGUUUCGGGCCCGACCAUACGGACCGCCACCGGCUUCGGCCUCGGCUGGUUCCAAGUCGCGCCCGGGCCGAGGUAUUUCUCGCCGCGCCCUGCGUCUCCGGACGCUGCGUGGCCAGGAUCGUGCCUUGCUACCGGACUGGCCCGACCCGUCUUGAAACACGGACCAAGGAGUCUAACAUGUGUGCGAGUGUUUGGGCGGCAAACCCAGGCGCAUAGAGAAAUCGAGAUUGCCCGAGCCUGUAAAACGGCGCAAGGCAGGCAGCGCGCCAGGCCUCUUGGCCAGUGCCUAGCAAGAGCAUGCAUGCUGGGACCCGAAAGGUGGUGAACUAUGCUUGUGCAGGGUGAAGUCAGGAGAAAUCCUGAUGGAGGCUCGAAGCGAUACUGACGUGCAAAUCGUUCGUUAGACAUGAGUAUAGGGGCGAAAGACUAAUCGAACCACCUAGUUGCUGGUUUCCUCCGAAGUUUCCCCCAGGAUAGCUGGAACCCGUGCGAGUUUUGUCAGGUAAAGCAAUGAUUAGAGGCUUUGGGUUAGAAACUAACUCAUCCUAUUCUCAAACUUUAAAUGGGCAAGAUGCGGUUGCCGCUUAAUUGGGCAGCUGCGUUGAAUCGGGGUUCUUAGUGGGCCAUUUUUGGUAAGCAGAACUGGCGAUGUGGGAUGCUCCAGACGCUCGGUUAAGGGGCCUAAGUGCUCGCUCAUUCAGAUACCAUAAAGGGUGUUGAUUGAUGAAGACAGCAGGACGGUGGUCAUGGAAGUCGAAAUCCGCUAAGGAGUGUGUAACAACUCACCUGCCGAAUCAAUUAGCCCCGAAAAUGGAUGGCGCUCAAGCGAGCCCCCGAAACCGGGCCAUCAGGGCAGAUGCGACGCCCUGAUGAGUAGGAGGACGUGUCGGUUGCUACGAAGGCGCGGGCGCGAGCCCCGCUUUGAGCGGCCCUCAGUGCAGAUCUUGGUGUUAGUAGCAAAUAUUCAAAUGGAAACUUUGAAGACCGAAGUGGAGAAAGGUUUCACGCGAACAUCAUUUGGACGUGAGUGACUCGGUCCUAAGCUAUUCCGUAUGGGAUUCAGAAGGCGCCGCUUGCGGCGCCGUCGGGCGAAAGGGCAACCGGUUUAAAUUCCGGUAGUGCGGACACGGUGUUGAGCGGCGACGCGUUCAAACCGGCUGACCGCGGCGCGGGGUCCGGGAAGAGUUCUCUUUUCUUUUUAACGCGGGCAGCGGAUCCGAAAUGCCUUCACGGCUCGAUGGAUCGGCUCCCGCGGCAAAGCGGAUGACUUCCUCAUCCGUCCGGUGCCCUCGCGACGCGCCUUGAAAAAGCCGGGGCGUACCUAUGCACUCGGUCCCAGCCGUACUCAUAACCGCAUCAGGUCUCCAAGGUUAAAAGCCUCUGGUCAAUAGAACAAUGUAGGUAAGGGAAGUCGGCAAAUUGGUUCCGUAAGUUCGCGAUAUGGAGUGGCUCGUCAGACUGGGCGGUAGAGGCUCGGUCCAUGAAGCGUGCUAGCUGACAGGACUAGCUAGGCCGCCUUCGGGUGCGCCCGGCUGGGCCUGCUUUGUAGGCGUGUGGAGGGAUCGAGACAGCGCGGGGCCUUUCGGGGACCCGUCGCAUUCUCGCCGCGACUAGCAGUCAAUGACGAACUCGUAGUGACCACAGGAACCCGACUGUUUAAUUAAACAAAGCAUUGCGAUGGUCGCAGGUCGAUGGUGACGCAAUGUGAUUUCUGCCCAGUGCUCUGAAUGUCAACGUGAUGUAAUUCAAUUAAGCGCGGGUAAACGGCGGGAGUAACUAUGACUCUCUUAAGGUAGCCAAAUGCCUCGUCAUCUAAUUAGCGACGCGCAUGAAUGGAUCAACGAGGUUCCUACUGUCCCUAUCUACUAUCUAGCGAAACCACAGCCAAGGGAACGGGCUUGGGAGUAACGGCGGGGAAAGAAGACCCUGUUGAGCUUGACUCUAGUCUGACACUGUGAAAUGACCUGGUUGGUGCAGCAUAAGUGGGAGCGUAAGCAACAGUGAGAUACCACUACUUCCAGCGUUGUUUUACUUACUUGGUCGGCAGCCGUGCCAACACUGUUUGGCGUUUCUAGCAUUAAGGGUGGCCUCUGUGCCCCUGAGGCUCGUCGAGGACACUGUCAGGUUGGGAGUUUGGCUGGGGCGGCACAUCUGUUAAACGAUAACACAGGUGACCCAAGAUCAGCUCAGAGCGAACGGAAAUCGCUCGUUGAGUUUAAGGGCAGAAGCUGAUUUGACUUUCUCCUCCAGUACGGGAGGAAGCAGUGAAAGCUCAGGCCUAGCGAUCCUUUCGGUCCUCGGACAUUGAGGCGAGAGGUGCCAGAAAAGUUACCACAGGGAUAGCUGGCUUGUGGCAGCCAAGCGUUCAUAGCGACGUUGCUUUUUGAUUCUUCGAUGUCGGCUCUUCCUACCCCUUUCUCGCACAAGGGAAAAAAGGUAAGAUUGUUCACCUACUAACAGGGAACGUGAGCUGGGUUUAGACCGUCG
Molecule: ribosomal RNA, 2939 nt
Filed under: Larcopyle buetschlii
Lineage: Eukaryota; Polycystinea; Spumellaria; Litheliidae
Description: LSU rRNA
Rfam family: Eukaryotic large subunit ribosomal RNA
Source: RNAcentral